This 207-nucleotide ribosomal RNA is filed under the name uncultured bacterium. RNAcentral describes it as "partial 16S ribosomal RNA". It matches the Rfam family "Bacterial small subunit ribosomal RNA", at positions 568 to 774 of the family's 1533-position model. The record is from RNAcentral.
CACGUAGGCGGACUGGAAAGUUGGGGGUGAAAUCCCGGGGCUCAACCUCGGAACUGCCUCCAAAACUAUCAGUCUAGAGUUCGAGAGAGGUGAGUGGAAUUCCGAGUGUAGAGGUGAAAUUCGUAGAUAUUCGGAGGAACACCAGUGGCGAAGGCGGCUCACUGGCUCGAUACUGACGCUGAGGUGCGAAAGUGUGGGGAGCAAACA